Molecule: unclassified non-coding RNA, 189 nt
Filed under: plant metagenome
Description: partial contains small subunit ribosomal RNA and internal transcribed spacer 1
Rfam family: Eukaryotic small subunit ribosomal RNA (bases 1-46)
Source: RNAcentral
AAGUCGUAACAAGGUUUCCGUAGGUGAACCUGCGGAAGGAUCAUUAUCGUAGGGCUUCGGCCCUGUCAGAUAGAACCCUUGCCUUUUUGAGUACCUUUCGUUUCCUCGGCAGCCUCGGCUGCCAAUGGGGACCCCAAAAAACACUUUGCAGUAUCUGUAACAGUCUGAACAAACAAACAAGAAUUAAAA